RNAcentral lists this ribosomal RNA (378 nucleotides) under Escherichia coli. RNAcentral's name for it is "partial 23S ribosomal RNA". It matches the Rfam family "Bacterial large subunit ribosomal RNA", at positions 477 to 858 of the family's 2925-position model. The record is from RNAcentral. Lineage: Bacteria; Pseudomonadati; Pseudomonadota; Gammaproteobacteria; Enterobacterales; Enterobacteriaceae.
UGACUGACCGAUAGUGAACCAGUACCGUGAGGGAAAGGCGAAAAGAACCCCGGAGAGGGGAGUGAAAUAGAACCUGAAACCGUAUGCGUACAAGCAGUGGGAGCCUACUUGUUAGGUGACUGCGUACCUUUUGUAUAAUGGGUCAGCGACUUAUAUUCAGUGGCAAGCUUAACCGUAUAGGGUAGGCGUAGCGAAAGCGAGUCUUAAUAGGGCGUUUAGUCGCUGGGUAUAGACCCGAAACCGGGCGAUCUAUCCAUGAGCAGGUUGAAGGUUAGGUAACACUGACUGGAGGACCGAACCCACUCCCGUUGAAAAGGUAGGGGAUGACUUGUGGAUCGGAGUGAAAGGCUAAUCAAGCUCGGAGAUAGCUGGUUCUCC